RNAcentral lists this ribosomal RNA (170 nucleotides) under uncultured bacterium. RNAcentral describes it as "partial 16S ribosomal RNA". It matches the Rfam family "Bacterial small subunit ribosomal RNA", at positions 338 to 522 of the family's 1533-position model. The record is from RNAcentral.
CCUACGGGAGGCAGCAGUGGGGAAUUUUCCGCAAUGGGCGAAAGCCUGACGGAGCAAUACCGCGUGAGGGAGGAAGGCUCUUGGGUUGUAAACCUCUUUUCUGAGGGAAGAAAAAAAUGACGGUACCUCAGGAGUAAGCAUCGGCUAACUCCGUGCCAGCAGCCGCGGUA